AUGAUUAGUGUACGGUCGAAUCGGGGGCGUCACACUUACGCUAAUAUUGCUGCAUCACCCUUUCCUCUUCAAGGAAAACCAACGCAAGCUCAAGACGUAGCAAGAAGGAUUUCUGGUGCCGUUGCCAGGAAGGUCUUCGCUCAAGUCAAGACAUACCAAGUACCUAUCACAAACUCAUCUCCCACACAUUUACAUUAUUUGCCAUUUGCCUCUUGUUUUCCUCUCCCCCACUUCACCCUUUCUGUUUUAUUCCCCCUCUCUUUCCCAAUCUCCUCUCUCUUUCGUUUGCCCUCUUCUUCUUCCACGCUUUUGUUUGCUGUUAUGUCUGAAAUUGGGGAGAUUAUCGUCGAUAUGGACAAUAAUGAUAACAUGGAAAAUUUUGAUGCUCCUGCUGAAGAACCCCCCUAUUUUGCAUACUAA
This 420-nucleotide ribosomal RNA is filed under the name Triticum aestivum (bread wheat). Its description in RNAcentral is "partial small subunit ribosomal RNA". The record is from RNAcentral. Lineage: Eukaryota; Viridiplantae; Streptophyta; Magnoliopsida; Poales; Poaceae.